AACUCGUACAGGUGAGCUAGCUAGCUGGUAAGUCGACUGUCCGUCUUAUAUGAUUUUUUUUUAUAAUUUGUAUUUUUACUGUUGUUAGAUGAUAAAAUAUGAUUAAUAUUUUAUGCGUGACUUGUCUUUUUAAUUUUUUUCAUAAUUUUUUCAAAUAAGACGGAUGGUCAAACGUUGACGAAAACUAGGGUUUGUCUUUUU
Molecule: microRNA precursor, 201 nt
Filed under: Oryza meridionalis
Lineage: Eukaryota; Viridiplantae; Streptophyta; Magnoliopsida; Poales; Poaceae
Description: MIR812 microRNA precursor family
Rfam family: MIR812 microRNA precursor family
Source: Rfam by way of RNAcentral